Molecule: long non-coding RNA, 1710 nt
Organism: Episyrphus balteatus (marmalade hoverfly)
Lineage: Eukaryota; Metazoa; Arthropoda; Insecta; Diptera; Syrphidae
Exons: 3
Source: RefSeq, a predicted model, not a curated record
UCAAAAUGUUUGACAGCCCAUAAUUUAUUUCACAUUUUUUCCCGCGUUUCUUUCUAUUUAAACAAACAAAAAAAAGAAAAGUUCUCGACAAACUUUUAUGUACAUCCUAAAUAUACCUAUAUCCCGGUCUGUAAUUUUCUAAAAAUAUUUUUUGUUGAUUAUUUAUUGUCCUUUUAUGGGAAGUGCUAAAACCUACGGAACUUAUCCAUCGUUGGUUGUGUUAAAUGCAUUAAGGUGCUUCAGAAAAAAAGAGUCCAAUAGACUUAUGUUUGCAAGCCGCCACCAUCAGUUUUUCUUUUUAUUUAUAAACAAAUCUUAAGCAUUUUCUUAAGGGAAAAACAAAAAAGGAAGAAGAUUUUAAAUGAUGGCCAACAGAAUCAUUCAAUUAUACAUAUGUGCAAGCUAUCCUAGACUUUAUGCUGCAAAGGAUGAGUGUAGUAUUGCGACAAGGUUUAUGAGCGUAUCAAGAAGAUCCCAGGCUAAAGGAGAUUAAUAUGAAAGUGCAACGAAUCGAAAAAUCAACAACGUGCUUAGUCUUAACACUAAUCAAGCAAUUUGAUGAUCAAAAUACACUCCGUCAGAUGCUCUACAUCGCUGACAAUGUACCUAAUUUCCAUAUGUUGUUCAAGAUGCGCCCCUCUGAUCUGAUUUAUAAAAUCUAGUAGCCACAUUCAAAGAAUGUCAAACCUGCUGAAAAUGCAGACGAUAUUCUUGAAGACCAUGAGGAAAAUCCACAUGUUUUCUUUAAACGUUUACCCGAGGUUAUUGGCGACAUUUGGAAACGUAUAACGUCAGUGUGGGCGUGUAUACUGAAACAGUAUUUGAAAGAUAUGUACGCCCUACAGGCUAAGAAGACGGUAAAAUAUCAAAUAACACAAACAUUUUACAAAAAAUUGUUACGACGAAAACAGUGCCCAAUUUCAAUUGCAGAAAUUAAGGAAUUGGUCAUAAAAUCAAGUGAUGUCUGUUUAAAUCCAGAAGAUGAGAAAGAUUUACUUAUAUGUAUGUACAUAUGUUCUUUAUGAUAAAUGUAAAAGAAUUUAUUCUCUUUCAGUUUUUCAGUUUAAACAACUUAUAAAUAAGUUUGAUCCAGAUGAUGCAUAUCUGCUCUUGAUAAAGAAAAAAAAUAAACAUGAUCAAGCUGGUGAGAGUAGUAUAGGAGCAAGAGCGGGCAGUGCGACAACGCCACAUGUAAAUAGUGUUAAUCAUACGAUGGUUUCAAGACCAUCCCAAAGCAAGAGAAUCGUUGGAUAGUAGCAGUGGAAAAAUUGCACCCAGCAUAGGCUUUGGAACGCCAACAUUACAGAACAAAUGAAUCAGAAACAACUAUUGGAAAAUUGACCCAAUGAAUAAUAAUAAUAAUAAUUAGUUUUUAACAAGUCUUGUUAUUUAAUUAAAGAAUUUCGCGGAAAAUUGAUGAACAAAAAACAAUUUUGAAGAACAUAGGUACCUUUUGUUUUGAUCUGGAUUUGUUUUUAUGUCAAAACUGUUCUUACUUUGGUUCGAUAUAUAAAUAUAUUGAUCAAUAUAUAAAUGUUCAAUAAAUCAAUAGUACCUAUAAUAGUAUCUGGUUAGUAAUGAAAAUGACUUUUUUUAAGUUUUGAGAAUCACUUUGAAAAUUAACACCACACAAACUAACAAGUUAUUCUUUAGAAAUCUCGAAUAAACAUUAUUAUUUAAUGUUAUCACAAAAGCAAAAUUUCUUGAACA